This 263-nucleotide ribosomal RNA is filed under the name uncultured bacterium. RNAcentral describes it as "partial 16S ribosomal RNA". It matches the Rfam family "Bacterial small subunit ribosomal RNA", at positions 793 to 1055 of the family's 1533-position model. The record is from RNAcentral.
GUCAAUGCCGUAAACGAUGUCUACUAGCCGUUGGGGUCUUUGAGACUUUAGUGGCGCAGCUAACGCGAUAAGUAGACCGCCUGGGGAGUACGGUCGCAAGACUAAAACUCAAAUGAAUUGACGGGGGCCCGCACAAGCGGUGGAGCAUGUGGUUUAAUUCGGUGCAACGCGAAGAACCUUACCUGGUCUUGACAUAGUAAGAACUUUCCAGAGAUGGAUUGGUGCCUUCGGGAGCUUACAUACAGGUGCUGCAUGGCUGUCGU